UCCGGCUUAUCACCGGCAGUCCCUCUAGAGUGCCCAACUCAAUGCUGGCAACUAGGGACAAGGGUUGCGCUCGUUGCGGGACUUAACCCAACAUCUCACGACACGAGCUGACGACAGCCAUGCAGCACCUGUAUCCCGGUUCCCGAGGGCACCAAUCCAUCUCUGGAAAGUUCCGAGUAUGUCAAGGGCAGGUAAGGUUCUUCGCGUUGCAUCGAAUUAAACCACAUGCUCCACCGCUUGUGCGGGUCCCCGUCAAUUCCUUUGAGUUUUAACCUUGCGGCCGUACUCCCCAGGCGGAGAGCUUACUGCGUUAACUGCGACACCGAACGGCAAGCCGCCCAACGGCUAGCUCUCAUAGUUUACGGCGUGGACUAC
This 375-nucleotide unclassified non-coding RNA is filed under the name uncultured Pseudomonadota bacterium. RNAcentral describes it as "uncultured proteobacterium contains 16S-23S intergenic spacer region". The record is from RNAcentral. Lineage: Bacteria; Pseudomonadati; Pseudomonadota.